This is a non-coding RNA of Pelobates cultripes (western spadefoot toad), 701 nucleotides long. Lineage: Eukaryota; Metazoa; Chordata; Amphibia; Anura; Pelobatidae. The record is from the annotation of a GenBank genome assembly.
CUCGCAUGUUGCAUAGAGAGGGACUCCCCUGUCACGGCCAAUUCUAUUUUUCUGCAACUACUCACGGAGAGGCCAACACCCCACCACUACUUUCUGUGGUAUAGCCCUCGGCCCAACACAUAGUUAGAGCCUCUCAAGCCGCUUGGCACUAGUAGGGCCUCACCUAUCACCAAUGAAGCUAAUUUCUUCACCGCUUGGUACUAGUCAGCAGCCAGUACCUACACAGAAACAUUCUAAAUCUCAAUUUUCCUUUGUAGUAUGUCUCAAGCUCCAGAAGGUGGAGACAAACUUUCACUCCCUCACUCCCCAACUAGGUCUGGUUCAACUUCCAGAAGACGAGAAUCUGUCAGUCCAUCAACAAUUAGAUCAUGGACCAUUCCGCGCAUACAGGCCGAACUAUGAAGAAGGAGCAUUCCAUUCCCGGCUGCUGCCAGGAAGGCGGAAUUGUUCAGAUUAAUGUAUGCGAACACCGGAGGUGAGGAAGGGUCUAGUGGCACCAGGAACAUGCCUGAUUUACAAACAAUGAUGGACACUCUUCUCUCCUCCAUGGGCCAGAUUAGGGAUCGGAUUGAUAGAUUGGAGGCGGGACAUACAACAACUGACCCACCUUUGACCAAUGCCAUGUCCCUAUGGCAAUCUUGCAGGGUAAUGUUGUGACUCCAGUAUCACAGUUAUAUACACUAAUGAUCACACCUGCCCAC